RNAcentral lists this ribosomal RNA (433 nucleotides) under uncultured bacterium. RNAcentral describes it as "partial 16S ribosomal RNA". It matches the Rfam family "Bacterial small subunit ribosomal RNA", at positions 29 to 507 of the family's 1533-position model. The record is from RNAcentral.
AACGAACGCUGGCGGCAUGCCUAACACAUGCCAGUCGAACGAGACCUUCGGGUCUAGUGGCGCACGGGUGCGUAACGCGUGGGAACCUGCCCUUAGGUUCGGAAUAACUCCCCGAAAGGGGUGCUAAUACCGGAUAAUGUCUUCGGACCAAAGAUUUAUCGCCUUUGGAUGGGCCCGCGUUGGAUUAGCUAGUUGGUAGGGUAAAAGCCUACCAAGGCGACGAUCCAUAGCUGGUCUGAGAGGAUGAUCACCCACACUGGGACUGAGACACGGCCCAGACUCCUCCGGGAGGCAGCAGUGGGGAAUAUUGCACAAUGGGCGAAAGCCUGAUCCAGCAAUGCCGCGUGAGUGAUGAAGGCCUUAGGGUUGUAAAGCUCUUUUACCCGGGAUGAUAAUGACAGUACCGGGAGAAUAAGCUCCGGCUAACUCCGUG